CAUGCAAGUCGAACGAACCUUCGGGUUAGUGGCGGACGGGUGAGUAACGCGUGGGAAUCUGCCCUCAGGAGGGGGAUAACGGUUGGAAACGACCGCUAAUACCCCAUAUGCCGAGAGGUGAAAUGAAUUUCGCCUGAGGAUGAGCCCGCGUCUGAUUAGCUUGUUGGUGAGGUAAUGGCUCACCAAGGCUUCGAUCAGUAGCUGGUCUGAGAGGAUGAUCAGCCACACUGGGACUGAGACACGGCCCAGACUCCUACGGGAGGCAGCAGUGGGGAAUUUUCCGCAAUGGGCGAAAGCCUGACGGAGCAACGCCGCGUGAGGGACGAAGGCCUCUGGGCUGUAAACCUCUUUUCUCAAGGAAGAAGAUAUGACGGUACUUGAGGAAUAAGCCACGGCUAAUUCCGUGCCAGCAGCCGCGGUAAUACGGGAGUGGCAAGCGUUAUCCGGAAUUAUUGGGCGUAAAGCGUCCGCAGGCGGCCUUUCAAGUCUGCUGUUAAAGCGUGGAGCUUAACUCCAUCAUGGCAGUGGAAACUGAUAGGCUUGAGUAUGGUAGGGGCAGAGGGAAUUCCCGGUGUAGCGGUGAAAUGCGUAGAUAUCGGGAAGAACACCAGUGGCGAAGGCGCUCUGCUGGGCCAUAACUGACGCUCAUGGACGAAAGCCAGGGGAGCGAAAGGGAUUAGAUACCCCUGUAGUCCUGGCCGUAAACGAUGAACACUAGGUGUCGGGGGAAUCGACCCCUUCGGUGUCGUAGCUAACGCGUUAAGUGUUCCGCCU
RNAcentral lists this ribosomal RNA (774 nucleotides) under uncultured cyanobacterium. Its description in RNAcentral is "bacterial SSU rRNA". It matches the Rfam family "Bacterial small subunit ribosomal RNA", at positions 54 to 874 of the family's 1533-position model. The record is from RNAcentral. Lineage: Bacteria; Bacillati; Cyanobacteriota.